AAACUUUCAACAACGGAUCUCUUGGUUCUGGCAUCGAUGAAGAACGCAGCGAAAUGCGAUAAGUAAUGUGAAUUGCAGAAUUCAGUGAAUCAUCGAAUCUUUGAACGCACAUUGCGCCCUCUGGUAUUCCGGGGGGCAUGCCUGUCCGAGCGUCAUUA
Molecule: ribosomal RNA, 158 nt
Filed under: Rhytismatales sp.
Lineage: Eukaryota; Fungi; Ascomycota; Leotiomycetes; Rhytismatales
Also listed under: 1 other name
Description: 5.8S ribosomal RNA
Rfam family: 5.8S ribosomal RNA
About the family: 5.8S ribosomal RNA (5.8S rRNA) is a component of the large subunit of the eukaryotic ribosome.
Source: RNAcentral